CCUACGGGGGGCUGCAGUAGGGAAUAUUGGGCAAUGGACGAAAGUCUGACCCAGCCAUGCCGCGUGCAGGAUGACUGCCCUAUGGGUUGUAAACUGCUUUUCUAUGGGAAGAAACACUCAUACGUGUAUGAACUUGACGGUACCAUAGGAAUAAGGAUCGGCUAACUCCGUUCCAGCAGCCGCGGUAAUACGGAGGAUCCAGGCGUUGUCCGGAUUAAUUGGGUUUAAGGCGGACGUAUAAGGAAUACUUGAAACCUUGCGGCUCAACCGUAAAAUUGCCUUUGAAACUGGUAGUCUUGAGUGCGGUCGAGGUGGAUGGAAUGUGUCAUGUAGCGGUGAAAUGCUUAGAUAUGACCCAGAACACCAAUUGCGAAGGCAGUUCACUAGACCGAUACUGACGCUGAGGCACGAAAGCGUGGGGAGCGAACAGGAUUAGAUACCCGGGUAGUC
This 450-nucleotide ribosomal RNA is filed under the name uncultured bacterium. RNAcentral describes it as "partial 16S ribosomal RNA". It matches the Rfam family "Bacterial small subunit ribosomal RNA", at positions 338 to 795 of the family's 1533-position model. The record is from RNAcentral.